This 67-nucleotide transfer RNA is filed under the name Echinostoma paraensei. RNAcentral's name for it is "tRNA-Tyr". Lineage: Eukaryota; Metazoa; Platyhelminthes; Trematoda; Plagiorchiida; Echinostomatidae. The record is from RNAcentral.
ACCGAUUUAGUAUAUAGUUUAGUGCGUGGGAUUGUAGCUCCUGAGGAAGAGGUAUUUCUGGUCGGAG